This 340-nucleotide ribosomal RNA is filed under the name uncultured bacterium. RNAcentral describes it as "bacterial SSU rRNA". It matches the Rfam family "Bacterial small subunit ribosomal RNA", at positions 29 to 396 of the family's 1533-position model. The record is from RNAcentral.
AACGAACGCUGGCGGCAUGCCUAACACAUGCAAGUCGAACGAGACCUUCGGGUCUAGUGGCGCACGGGUGCGUAACGCGUGGGAACCUGCCUUUAGGUUCGGAAUAACAGUGAGAAAUUACUGCUAAUACCGGAUGAUGUCUUCGGACCAAAGAUUUAUCGCCUUUGGAUGGGCCCGCGUUGGAUUAGCUAGUUGGUGGGGUAAAGGCCUACCAAGGCGACGAUCCAUAGCUGGUUUGAGAGGAUGAUCAGCCACACUGGGACUGAGACACGGCCCAGACUCCUACGGGAGGCAGCAGUGGGGAAUUUUGGACAAUGGGGGCAACCCUGAUCCAGCCAUG